GGUCAAGUGAAGAAGCGCAUACGGUGGAUGCCUUGGCAGUCAGAGGCGAUGAAAGACGUGGUAGCCUGCGAAAAGCUUCGGGGAGUCGGCAAACAGACUUUGAUCCGGAGAUCUCUGAAUGGGGGAACCCACCUAGGAUAACCUAGGUAUCUUGUACUGAAUCCAUAGGUGCAAGAGGCGAACCAGGGGAACUGAAACAUCUAAGUACCCUGAGGAAAAGAAAUCAACCGAGAUUCCCUUAGUAGUGGCGAGCGAACGGGGAUUAGCCCUUAAGCUUCAUUGAUUUUAGCGGAACGCUCUGGAAAGUGCGGCCAUAGUGGGUGAUAGCCCCGUACGCGAAAGGAUCUUUGAAGUGAAAUCGAGUAGGACGGAGCACGAGAAACUUUGUCUGAACAUGGGGGGACCAUCCUCCAAGGCUAAAUACUACUGACUGACCGAUAGUGAACCAGUACCGUGAGGGAAAGGCGAAAAGAACCCCGGAGAGGGGAGUGAAAUAGAACCUGAAACCGUAUGCGUACAAGCAGUGGGAGCCUACUUGUUAGGUGACUGCGUACCUUUUGUAUAAUGGGUCAGCGACUUAUAUUCAGUGGCAAGCUUAACCGUAUAGGGUAGGCGUAGCGAAAGCGAGUCUUAAUAGGGCGUUUAGUCGCUGGGUAUAGACCCGAAACCGGGCGAUCUAUCCAUGAGCAGGUUGAAGGUUAGGUAACACUGACUGGAGGACCGAACCCACUCCCGUUGAAAAGGUAGGGGAUGACUUGUGGAUCGGAGUGAAAGGCUAAUCAAGCUCGGAGAUAGCUGGUUCUCCUCGAAAGCUAUUUAGGUAGCGCCUCAUGUAUCACUCUGGGGGGUAGAGCACUGUUUCGGCUAGGGGGUCAUCCCGACUUACCAAACCGAUGCAAACUCCGAAUACCCAGAAGUGCCGAGCAUGGGAGACACACGGCGGGUGCUAACGUCCGUCGUGAAAAGGGAAACAACCCAGACCGCCAGCUAAGGUCCCAAAGUUGUGGUUAAGUGGUAAACGAUGUGGGAAGGCUUAGACAGCCAGGAUGUUGGCUUAGAAGCAGCCAUCAUUUAAAGAAAGCGUAAUAGCUCACUGGUCGAGUCGGCCUGCGCGGAAGAUGUAACGGGGCUAAACCAUGCACCGAAGCUGCGGCAGCGACACUAUGUGUUGUUGGGUAGGGGAGCGUUCUGUAAGCCGUUGAAGGUGUACUGUGAGGUAUGCUGGAGGUAUCAGAAGUGCGAAUGCUGACAUAAGUAACGAUAAUGCGGGUGAAAAACCCGCACGCCGGAAGACCAAGGGUUCCUGUCCAACGUUAAUCGGGGCAGGGUGAGUCGACCCCUAAGGCGAGGCCGAAAGGCGUAGUCGAUGGGAAACAGGUUAAUAUUCCUGUACUUGGUGUUACUGCGAUGGAGGGACGGAGAAGGCUAGGCCAGCUUGGCGUUGGUUGUCCAAGUUUAAGGUGGUAGGCUGAAAUCUUAGGUAAAUCCGGGGUUUCAAGGCCGAGAGCUGAUGACGAGUCGUCUUUUAGAUGACGAAGUGGUUGAUGCCAUGCUUCCAAGAAAAGCUUCUAAGCUUCAGGUAACCAGGAACCGUACCCCAAACCGACACAGGUGGUCGGGUAGAGAAUACCAAGGCGCUUGAGAGAACUCGGGUGAAGGAACUAGGCAAAAUGGCACCGUAACUUCGGGAGAAGGUGCGCCGGCUAGGGUGAAGGAUUUACUCCGUAAGCUCUGGCUGGUCGAAGAUACCAGGCCGCUGCGACUGUUUAUUAAAAACACAGCACUCUGCAAACACGAAAGUGGACGUAUAGGGUGUGACGCCUGCCCGGUGCCGGAAGGUUAAUUGAUGGGGUUAGCGCAAGCGAAGCUCUUGAUCGAAGCCCCGGUAAACGGCGGCCGUAACUAUAACGGUCCUAAGGUAGCGAAAUUCCUUGUCGGGUAAGUUCCGACCUGCACGAAUGGCGUAACGAUGGCGGCGCUGUCUCCACCCGAGACUCAGUGAAAUUGAAAUCGCUGUGAAGAUGCAGUGUAUCCGCGGCUAGACGGAAAGACCCCGUGAACCUUUACUGUAGCUUUGCACUGGACUUUGAGCCUGCUUGUGUAGGAUAGGUGGGAGGCUUUGAAGCGUGGACGCCAGUUCGCGUGGAGCCAUCCUUGAAAUACCACCCUGGCAUGCUUGAGGUUCUAACUCUGGUCCGUAAUCCGGAUCGAGGACAGUGUAUGGUGG
Molecule: ribosomal RNA, 2227 nt
Filed under: Enterococcus faecalis
Lineage: Bacteria; Bacillati; Bacillota; Bacilli; Lactobacillales; Enterococcaceae
Description: partial 23S ribosomal RNA
Rfam family: Bacterial large subunit ribosomal RNA
Source: RNAcentral